This is an RNA transcript of Fukomys damarensis (Damara mole-rat), 2134 nucleotides long. It is a transcript of the gene named AFG1 like ATPase, with no coding region annotated. Lineage: Eukaryota; Metazoa; Chordata; Mammalia; Rodentia; Bathyergidae. The transcript has 14 exons. The record is from RefSeq and is a predicted model, not a curated record.
CCUCCCUUAGCUGCUCCCCUUGCUUCUUUCGGGCGGAGCGUCCCGCGAGCACGGCUUGAUUUGACUGCUACCUUCUCUCAUCUGGCUUUCAAUAAAGUUUUCCUCUUCGUCCCCUUGUACGGAGCUCAAGAUGGCGGCCUCCUGGUCGCCCUUGCUUAUCCUGCGCUCCUUAGCGCGGAGCCGGCUGAGAGGGACUUGUGUGGGGUGCGGGGCCCAGGCCACCCCUCUUGCUGCUCGGGCCACCGACCCUGGGAGGCCCCUUUGGAAAGCCUACACAGUUCAGACACUUGAUGAUGUCACCCCAGCUGCUACUUCUGAGGCCUAUUUGAAAGCUUUGGCUGUUUGUCAUGGACCUCUGGACCACUAUGACUUUCUGAUCAAAGCUCAGGAGCUAAAGGCUGAUGAACAUCAAAGAAGAGUCAUACAGUGUUUACAGAAAUUGCAUGAGGACCUUAAAAGAUACAGUAUAGAGGCAGAAGACUUCCUUUCAAAGCUUUUUUCAAGGAGCAAACCUCCAAGGGGCCUGUAUGUUUAUGGAGAUGUUGGUACAGGGAAAACAAUGGUGAUGGACAUAUUUUAUACUUAUGUGGAAAUGAAGAGGAAAAAACGGGUCCAUUUUCACGGUUUCAUGCUCGAUGUGCACCAAAGAAUACAUCGCCUUAAGCAGAGUUUGCCAAAAAGAAAACCAGGAUUCAUGACCAAAUCAUAUGACCCAAUAGCUCCCAUAGCUGAAGAAAUCAGCCAAGAAGCACGUCUCUUAUGUUUUGAUGAAUUUCAGGUCACUGACAUUGCUGAUGCCAUGAUUCUGAAACAGCUUUUUGAAAAUCUGUUCAAAAAUGGGGUCGUCGUUGUGGCAACAUCCAACAGACCACCGGAAGAUCUCUAUAAGAAUGGACUCCAAAGGGCUAACUUUGUACCAUUCAUAGCUGUCCUGAAGGAGUAUUGUAAUACUGUCCAGCUAGAUUCUGGGAUAGAUUACCGGAAAAGGGAACUCCCUGCUGCAGGAAAACUCUACUACCUCACAAGUGAAGCUGAUGUGGAGGCUGUCAUGGAUAAGUUGUUUGAUGAGCUGGCUCAGAAACAAAAUGAUUUAACUAGACCAAGGAUUCUAAAAGUGCAAGGCAGAGAGCUGCGGCUGAAUAAAGCCUGUGGAACCAUUGCCGACUGCACAUUUGAAGAGCUGUGUGAGAGACCACUUGGAGCUAGUGACUAUUUGGAACUGUCAAGGAAUUUUGAUACAAUAUUUUUACGGAACAUUCCACAAUUUACACUGGCAAAGAGGACUCAAGCUCGAAGAUUUAUAACUCUCAUUGAUAACUUUUAUGAUUUCAAGGUGCGUAUCAUUUGCUCUGCCUCGACUCCUCUACCAGGCUUAUUUCUGCAUCAACAUCAUGACAGUGAGUUGGAGCAAAGCAGAAUACUGAUGGAUGAUUUGGGGCUGAGCCAGGAUGCAGCAGAAGGACUCUCCAUGUUUACCGGAGAAGAGGAAAUCUUUGCAUUUCAGCGCACCAUCUCCCGACUCACAGAAAUGCAGACUGAACAGUACUGGAAUGAAGGAGACAGAAGCAAGAAGUAACUGUCUCUCUCACAUGAGCAAAACUAGACAGAUGAUUAAUUCAGGGAGAACUCUGUAUUGUGAGACUUGAAGGAAUCAUUUUCUCAUCGUCAGUUAUGCACUUUGUCCUCUGGACCACUCUCAUCUAAAACUGCUGUCAAAGAUGUAGUGGAUUAGCUCUUUCCUCCCUCCUCGGACAUGAUGAGAUUGGCCACAGUGGAAGAGGCUUUCUGAGUAGGAGUGAGGCAUAUGGGAAAGGGAGCUCGGAGGCUUUCACUGGGCUUGGCCGAGGUUUCAGGAGAGCAAAAUGGAAUACCAUGGUGCCUGAAAAUGGUACGUAUUGACCUUCAUCUCCUCUCCACAAGUCUGUUUCAUAAAAAAGCAUGCUAGAAAAAGAAAUGAAAGUCUUAAUGAUUAGCCAUUACCAGAAAACAAUAUGGUAGCUCUUCUAAAAGGAAGUAGGGUGUAUGGUUAUCACUAUUUUCCAGACGGGAACCUGAGUUAUAGAAAAUGGCUAGGUUAUAGAAAAUGACUAGAACAGAAUGUUUUAAGGUAGGCAUUGGAAUCAAUAAAUUAUAA